GCUCACAUUGGACAGGAACAGGGCGACGGACCCGGCUUUACGUGAUGGACAAGUGCUCUGCGUAGUCAUGAGAGG
RNAcentral lists this long non-coding RNA (75 nucleotides) under Cottoperca gobio. RNAcentral's name for it is "lncRNA (ENSCGOG00000001005.1)". The record is from RNAcentral. Lineage: Eukaryota; Metazoa; Chordata; Actinopteri; Perciformes; Bovichtidae.